RNAcentral lists this ribosomal RNA (87 nucleotides) under Sphingobacterium haloxyli. Lineage: Bacteria; Pseudomonadati; Bacteroidota; Sphingobacteriia; Sphingobacteriales; Sphingobacteriaceae. The record is from RNAcentral.
ACCUCUUCCCAUUCCGAACAGAGCAGUCAAGCCCGCCAGAGCCGAUGGUACUGCCGUAAAAGGUGGGAGAGUAGGUCGGUGCCGAUU